Molecule: ribosomal RNA, 315 nt
Filed under: Triticum aestivum (bread wheat)
Lineage: Eukaryota; Viridiplantae; Streptophyta; Magnoliopsida; Poales; Poaceae
Description: partial small subunit ribosomal RNA
Source: RNAcentral
AUGGAGACGGCGCCGGGUUCGCGCUGCCGCCGGUGCCUGGAGACCCUGUGCGCCGUCCUCCUCCCGCCGCUCGGCGUCUACCUCCGCCACGGCUUCUGCUCCAUGCGGUUCUUGAUCAGCGUGCUGCGCACCAUCAUCGGCUACUACUUUUGCCUUCUCUUCGUUAUUCAAGCCCCCGUCAUGGGUUACGUGCGGAACUGCCUCACCUUCUCCUGUGUCUUGCUCCUCGUCGCAUUCCUCAACUGCCCCAGUAAUGGCGCUAACGACGACGUCGACGACUCCGCCACCGCCGCCUCCUACGUCCUGGUCGCCUGA